Molecule: ribosomal RNA, 2785 nt
Filed under: Shigella boydii
Lineage: Bacteria; Pseudomonadati; Pseudomonadota; Gammaproteobacteria; Enterobacterales; Enterobacteriaceae
Description: bacterial LSU rRNA
Rfam family: Bacterial large subunit ribosomal RNA
Source: RNAcentral
AGCGUACACGGUGGAUGCCCUGGCAGUCAGAGGCGAUGAAGGACGUGCUAAUCUGCGAUAAGCGUCGGUAAGGUGAUAUGAACCGUUAUAACCGGCGAUUUCCGAAUGGGGAAACCCAGUGUGUUUCGACACACUAUCAUUAACUGAAUCCAUAGGUUAAUGAGGCGAACCGGGGGAACUGAAACAUCUAAGUACCCCGAGGAAAAGAAAUCAACCGAGAUUCCCCCAGUAGCGGCGAGCGAACGGGGAGCAGCCCAGAGCCUGAAUCAGUGUGUGUGUUAGUGGAAGCGUCUGGAAAGGCGCGCGAUACAGGGUGACAGCCCCGUACACAAAAAUGCACAUGCUGUGAGCUCGAUGAGUAGGGCGGGACACGUGGUAUCCUGUCUGAAUAUGGGGGGACCAUCCUCCAAGGCUAAAUACUCCUGACUGACCGAUAGUGAACCAGUACCGUGAGGGAAAGGCGAAAAGAACCCCGGCGAGGGGAGUGAAAAAGAACCUGAAACCGUGUACGUACAAGCAGUGGGAGCCUCUUUAUGGGGUGACUGCGUACCUUUUGUAUAAUGGGUCAGCGACUUAUAUUCUGUAGCAAGGUUAACCGAAUAGGGGAGCCGAAGGGAAACCGAGUCUUAACUGGGCGUUAAGUUGCAGGGUAUAGACCCGAAACCCGGUGAUCUAGCCAUGGGCAGGUUGAAGGUUGGGUAACACUAACUGGAGGACCGAACCGACUAAUGUUGAAAAAUUAGCGGAUGACUUGUGGCUGGGGGUGAAAGGCCAAUCAAACCGGGAGAUAGCUGGUUCUCCCCGAAAGCUAUUUAGGUAGCGCCUCGUGAAUUCAUCUCCGGGGGUAGAGCACUGUUUCGGCAAGGGGGUCAUCCCGACUUACCAACCCGAUGCAAACUGCGAAUACCGGAGAAUGUUAUCACGGGAGACACACGGCGGGUGCUAACGUCCGUCGUGAAGAGGGAAACAACCCAGACCGCCAGCUAAGGUCCCAAAGUCAUGGUUAAGUGGGAAACGAUGUGGGAAGGCCCAGACAGCCAGGAUGUUGGCUUAGAAGCAGCCAUCAUUUAAAGAAAGCGUAAUAGCUCACUGGUCGAGUCGGCCUGCGCGGAAGAUGUAACGGGGCUAAACCAUGCACCGAAGCUGCGGCAGCGACGCUUAUGCGUUGUUGGGUAGGGGAGCGUUCUGUAAGCCUGUGAAGGUGUGCUGUGAGGCAUGCUGGAGGUAUCAGAAGUGCGAAUGCUGACAUAAGUAACGAUAAAGCGGGUGAAAAGCCCGCUCGCCGGAAGACCAAGGGUUCCUGUCCAACGUUAAUCGGGGCAGGGUGAGUCGACCCCUAAGGCGAGGCCGAAAGGCGUAGUCGAUGGGAAACAGGUUAAUAUUCCUGUACUUGGUGUUACUGCGAAGGGGGGACGGAGAAGGCUAUGUUGGCCGGGCGACGGUUGUCCCGGUUUAAGCGUGUAGGCUGAUUUUCCAGGCAAAUCCGGAAAAUCAAGGCUGAGGCGUGAUGACGAGGCACUACGGUGCUGAAGCAACAAAUGCCCUGCUUCCAGGAAAAGCCUCUAAGCAUCAGGUAACAUCAAAUCGUACCCCAAACCGACACAGGUGGUCAGGUAGAGAAUACCAAGGCGCUUGAGAGAACUCGGGUGAAGGAACUAGGCAAAAUGGUGCCGUAACUUCGGGAGAAGGCACGCUGAUAUGUAGGUGAAGUCCCUCGCGGAUGGAGCUGAAAUCAGUCGAAGAUACCAGCUGGCUGCAACUGUUUAUUAAAAACACAGCACUGUGCAAACACGAAAGUGGACGUAUACGGUGUGACGCCUGCCCGGUGCCGGAAGGUUAAUUGAUGGGGUCAGCGCAAGCGAAGCUCUUGAUCGAAGCCCCGGUAAACGGCGGCCGUAACUAUAACGGUCCUAAGGUAGCGAAAUUCCUUGUCGGGUAAGUUCCGACCUGCACGAAUGGCGUAAUGAUGGCCAGGCUGUCUCCACCCGAGACUCAGUGAAAUUGAACUCGCUGUGAAGAUGCAGUGUACCCGCGGCAAGACGGAAAGACCCCGUGAACCUUUACUAUAGCUUGACACUGAACAUUGAGCCUUGAUGUGUAGGAUAGGUGGGAGGCUUAGAAGUGUGGACGCCAGUCUGCAUGGAGCCGGCCUUGAAAUACCACCCUUUAAUGUUUGAUGUUCUAACGUGGACCCGUAAUCCGGGUUGCGGACAGUGUCUGGUGGGUAGUUUGACUGGGGCGGUCUCCUCCUAAAGAGUAACGGAGGAGCACGAAGGUUGGCUAAUCCUGGUCGGACAUCAGGAGGUUAGUGCAAUGGCAUAAGCCAGCUUGACUGCGAGCGUGACGGCGCGAGCAGGUGCGAAAGCAGGUCAUAGUGAUCCGGUGGUUCUGAAUGGAAGGGCCAUCGCUCAACGGAUAAAAGGUACUCCGGGGAUAACAGGCUGAUACCGCCCAAGAGUUCAUAUCGACGGCGGUGUUUGGCACCUCGAUGUCGGCUCAUCACAUCCUGGGGCUGAAGUAGGUCCCAAGGGUAUGGCUGUUCGCCAUUUAAAGUGGUACGCGAGCUGGGUUUAGAACGUCGUGAGACAGUUCGGUCCCUAUCUGCCGUGGGCGCUGGAGAACUGAGGGGGCUGCUCCUAGUACGAGAGGACCGGAGUGGACGCAUCACUGGUGUUCGGGUUGUCAUGCCAAUGGCACUGCCCGGUAGCUAAAUGCGGAAGAGAUAAGUGCUGAAAGCAUCUAAGCACGAAACUUGCCCCGAGAUGAGUUCUCCCUGACUCCUUGA